This 496-nucleotide unclassified non-coding RNA is filed under the name Hevea brasiliensis (rubber tree). The record is from RNAcentral. Lineage: Eukaryota; Viridiplantae; Streptophyta; Magnoliopsida; Malpighiales; Euphorbiaceae.
AAAAAAAAAAAGGGAUUUGUGGAAUGGGAAACUUCACUAUGGAUAGACAUGUCUUACAAAAAAUCAUAUCUCAUGAAUCUGGGUAAAAUCUUGUUAAGAUUGUACUGUAUUUAAAAUAAAAUUGCACUACUUUUGGAGCAAUUUGACUUUAAUCCUUUUUGUAGCCGGAUCUUUUGUUUCGCUGGAUUUUUUGCUGUUUUGAUUUGAACUUUCUACUUGCUACCUUGUUCAUGGUUCUAGCAAGUACUAAUUUUUCAAUUACAUCCUUUUCAAUAUUACCAAGAUUUCUUAGACUAUCUUUGCAUUUGUGACCGUUAUAUAGCCCCAGCCUGGAGUGCAAAAUGUUUUAUGGUUUUCUCUUUCUAAGAGCAUGAAAAAACCCAGGCAAAAUAAGACCCCUCCAAGGCUCCAACUAUGGCACAGACCCAGAGUCAGUCCAACUCGGGCUUGAUGAUUGUUGAUUUCUUUUCCAUUUUUUUUUUUUUUAAAUGUAGUU